Molecule: RNA transcript, 536 nt
Organism: Aegilops tauschii subsp. strangulata
Lineage: Eukaryota; Viridiplantae; Streptophyta; Magnoliopsida; Poales; Poaceae
Source: RefSeq, a predicted model, not a curated record
CAUGCAUGUGAGGGCAUGCAUCUUCUCUGCACAUAACACACUGCCGCAUAUAUCGAUCUCCCCUAUAAGUAGACAUCCAUGCAAUGUGUUUAUGCAGUAGCAAGUUACCAACCAAGCUCAGAAGAUUAAGAAACAAGCUUCUUGAGGUCCAUUUAGCCAGCUGGUCCAUCAACGAUGAGCUCCACAGAUGUCCCAGCUGGCACCGGAGGCCUCGCCGGUGAGUCGUGGCAGAAGUCCUGGCCAGAGGUGGUGGGCAAGUCCAUAAAGGAGGCCAGGGAGAUCAUUCUCAAAGACAAGCCUGACGCCGAUAUCGUCGAGCUGCCAGCCGGGUCGCCGGUGACCCGGGACUUUAAGCCCAACCGCGUGUGCAUCAUCGUCGAUACCGUCGCCGAGGCACCCUUCACUGGCUAGCUCUAGCUUUGCAAGCGCGAAGAAAUGUAUGCGUGCCCCAUCCAUGCAUGCGCAUGAAUAAGUUUUUAGUAAUUGAUGAAUAAAUCCUGGCAUGUCGAGCAUCAGCAUGGCAUGGAUUUGUGUAA